Molecule: long non-coding RNA, 1860 nt
Organism: Cydia strobilella
Lineage: Eukaryota; Metazoa; Arthropoda; Insecta; Lepidoptera; Tortricidae
Exons: 2
Source: RefSeq, a predicted model, not a curated record
CGCGCCGCCCGCCUCGUCGCUCGCAACAUGUCGCCAAAAGCGACUAAAAAUAAUAGUGAGUAAAAACCGUACUGAUAAAUAUUUUGAAAUAUGUCUCACGAUAGUUUAAGUGAAACUCAACCUACCUUAUCAAAACAUAGUUUUUAACUAUCAAAAGAAUACUUAACGCCAGAGCACACCGGAUACGUGUGCGGAGACGAGCACGAGGCCUGGCGGUGUGCCGUCUCUUAUAAGGAUCUACAUAAUACAACGCGCGUGACGUCUACGCACAUGUACGCAUCCGGUGUGCACAGGCCUUUACCAUUUUUAUAAAUAAUCAAAAUGUAUAUUAGGUAAAUUUAUUUUAAAAUGGAUAUGCGAUGACUGAUCGAGACUAACACUAAACUCUUGCGUUUUGAACACAUAAUUAAUGCCAUUAACGGGUCUAACGCGAUAAAAUCUCAUCAUUUUACCUUUUUUCCGACGUUUCAGCUAGGUUGCACUAGCUGUGGUCACGGACAUUUUGCUGGGACGUCAGUCUUCCGUGACCACAGCUAGUGCAACCUGGCUGAAACGUCGGAAAAAGGUAAAAUAAUGAAAUUUAAUCGCGUUACACCCGUUAAUGACAUUAAUUAUAUGUAGCUUAAAUUGUAAAUAGAUACCGUAUAUAGAUGCUUACGUAUAUAUAAUGUAUUGUUAUCGUGACAUAACACUUGAAAGACACUAUACCCCUAGAGUUGCAGGCAUCCAUAGGCUACGGCGGGCCGUAUACUUGUUUCACACCGACGUGGUAUUAAAAAAAUAUAUACGGUAAAUACCUCCUUUUUAUAGUUAGUGGUAAUGUAAAUUAUUUCGUUUCCUUUUCCUACACAAAAAUGUGCAAAAUAUCGCCAUUUUGAAUACUUUACAACGGCCUUUUGCCUAUGCUUAUAUUACAGUGGAUUGUGAAUAAUAUUUCCUUUUUCCAUAAUGGAAAUUUUCAAAAAAAUUGCCAAAAAUUUCAAAAAAAAAUACGACACUUCGUAAGUUUAACAUUUGCAGAUACAGUCGUCAUCAGAUAUAUCGGAGCGGCCAAGGCGCUCACAAACAUCUGAGCACGCCUCUAUUGUCAACGCGAUCGAGUGCGUGUUUAGUUUUGCAUGACACGGUCAUAGUAGUGUCUUUCAGAAAAAGGAGCUUAAUUUAUUUAAUGUUAUAACAUCGAUGCCAUUUUUCUACAAUUGUAUUUAUGUGUAAAAAGUUAUCGUAAGUAAACUUAUUCACUUAAUUGAAUUUCAGAAAACUGUUCGUAUUCGAGUGGGGUAAUUAUACAAACUUAAUUUCACCCCAUUUCUGGGGUAAAAUAAAAGAUAGUAAAAUCUGUUUUACCUCACUUAAUUUUGUGUUUUAAUUAUUAUUGGUGGUAAUAAUGUUUUAAACAAUUAUUAAUUUUUAAUCGAUUACCGUAAAGAACAAUAAUGUGAAAUAAUAUUAACGUUGAGUUGAACUUAAGGCCAUAAAUGCUGAAAUUGAUCUAAGGAAAGGUAAACAUAUCACAGGUAGAUUUUCCCUUACAACCAACCGACAAGGGAAAUACAUCAUUUCGGUUUUACUUUGGUCAUUUCAGUAUUUUUGCGCUGAUCGCUUCUCAAUAAUUUUUAAAAAUAAAUAUAUGAAUUCCCUUUUAAGGAAGGCUGUGCUAAGUAAAGUUCGUGGUUUUGAGCCACUUGACGGUUACAGCGAAAAUCGAAAUUCGAAAGUAUAUAUUUCUGUUUGUAUCGCUCUUGCAUAUCGAGUUUACAAUUUUUGAAUUUCGAAGGUCGCGGCCGCCAUAUUCUCAUAGAACGUCAGUUAUUUUGUUAUGCACACGAUUAAUGUAUAAAAUAAAUUAUAUUAUUUGUA